Non-coding RNA from Salmo salar (Atlantic salmon), 54 nucleotides. Lineage: Eukaryota; Metazoa; Chordata; Actinopteri; Salmoniformes; Salmonidae. The record is from Rfam.
AAUGUAUGAAACUGUAAGUCGCUCUGGAUAAGAGCGUCUGCUAAAUUACUAAAA